UACGUAGGGUGCAAGCGUUAAUCGGAAUUACUGGGCGUAAAGCGUGCGCAGGCGGUUUUGUAAGUCUGAUGUGAAAUCCCCUGGCUCAACCUGGGAAUUGCAUUGGAGACUGCAAGGCUAGAAUCUGGCAGAGGGGGGUAGAAUUCCACGUGUAGCAGUGAAAUGCGUAGAGAUGUGGAGGAACACCGAUGGCGAAGGCAGCCCCCUGGGUCAAGAUUGACGCUCAUGCACGAAAGCGUGGGGAGCAAACAGG
Molecule: ribosomal RNA, 253 nt
Filed under: uncultured bacterium
Lineage: Bacteria
Description: partial 16S ribosomal RNA
Rfam family: Bacterial small subunit ribosomal RNA
Source: RNAcentral